RNAcentral lists this ribosomal RNA (460 nucleotides) under uncultured bacterium. RNAcentral's name for it is "partial 16S ribosomal RNA". It matches the Rfam family "Bacterial small subunit ribosomal RNA", at positions 338 to 795 of the family's 1533-position model. The record is from RNAcentral.
CCUACGGGAGGCAGCAGUGAGGAAUAUUGGUCAAUGGACGAGAGUCUGAACCAGCCAAGUAGCGUGAAGGAUGACUGCCCUAUGGGUUGUAAACUUCUUUUAUAAAGGAAUAAAACGAGGCACGUGUGCCUUUUUGCAUGUACUUUAUGAAUAAGGAUCGGCUAACUCCGUGCCAGCAGCCGCGGUAAUACGGAGGAUGCGAGCGUUAUCCGGAUUUAUUGGGUUUAAAGGGAGCGUAGAUGGGUUGUUAAGUCAGUUGUGAAAGGUUGCGGCUCAACCGUAAAAUUGCAAUUGAUACUGGCAGUCUUGAGUACAGUUGAGGUAGGCGGAAUUCGUGGUGUAGCGGUGAAAUGCUUAGAUAUCACGAAGAACCCCGAUUGCGAAGGCAGCUUACUAAACUGUGACUGACAUUGAUGCUCGAAAGUGUGGGUAUCAAACAGGAUUAGAUACCCCUGUAGUC